RNAcentral lists this ribosomal RNA (465 nucleotides) under uncultured bacterium. Its description in RNAcentral is "partial 16S ribosomal RNA". The record is from RNAcentral.
GACUACCGGGGUAUCUAAUCCUGUUUGCUCCCCACGCUUUCGUGCCUCAGCGUCAGUUCCGGCCCAGUAAGCCGCCUUCGCCACUGGUGUUCCUCCAAAUAUCUACGCAUUCCACCGCUCCACUUGGAAUUCCACUUACCUCUACCGUACUCUAGCUUGCCAGUUUCCAAUGACCCUCCACAGUUAAGCUGUGGGAUUUUACAUCGAACUUAACAAACCGCCUACGCACGCUUUACGCCCAAUAAUUCCGGAUAACGCUCGCCCCCUAUGUAUUACCGCGGCUGCUGGCACAUAGUUAGCCGGGGCUUUCUCGUUAGGUACCGUCACGCAUAAUGCAUUUCCUCAUUAUGCCUUUCUUCCCCAAUAACAGAACUUUACAAUCCGAAGAUCGUCUUCAUUCACGCGGCAUUGCUCGGUCAGACUUGCGUCCAUUGCCGAAAAUUCCCCACUGCAGCCGCCCGUAGG